GCAGAAGAGCCCCAAAGACCUGGCGGUGGAGGAGCAGGAGCUGACUUUCCAGCCGCUGCCGGAGGAGCAGGAGGAAGAGGAGGCGGAGGAGCCGCCGCCGGAAGCCAAGGAAGGCAACCCCAGAGAGGGGCCCGUCAGCCCCACCGCCGUGGAGAGGGCGGAGAGAGAUCAAAAGGACUCCCGGCUCGGCCCCGAGGAGAAGAAGCUCCCCGCUCCGCCGGGCACCCCAUGGCAGCCGAGCCCUCCCUUCAUUCCUCUCGCCGUCGCCGCCGCCAGCAACUGUGAAAAUAUCGCGCCGGGCAACUCUUCCAAAGCCGAGAAGCUAGCGCUGCUGUCCUCUGGCAACCCAGAGGCCGAGGCCGUGGAUGGGGACCCGGGCUCUCUCGGCUGCCCGGCUCAGCCCGCCCCGUCCGCCGUCCCUCCGCUUCCCGUGGCCCCGCCUGCUGCUCCUGCCGCCGAAUUCACCGUGGGCGACAACGAGGAUGAGGACGGGAUGAAGCACCUGC
Pseudonaja textilis is the source of this 506-nucleotide non-coding RNA. Lineage: Eukaryota; Metazoa; Chordata; Lepidosauria; Squamata; Elapidae. The record is from RefSeq and is a predicted model, not a curated record.